CCAACCUUAGCUCAGUUGGAAGAGCAACUGACUGUAGAUGCAUUGUCAUCAGUGGGUCACCCGUUCAAAUCGGGUAGGUUGGA
This 83-nucleotide transfer RNA is filed under the name Dishui Lake phycodnavirus 3. It matches the Rfam family "tRNA". Rfam says of the family: Transfer RNA (tRNA) molecules are approximately 80 nucleotides in length. The record is from Rfam by way of RNAcentral. Lineage: Varidnaviria; Bamfordvirae; Nucleocytoviricota; Megaviricetes; Algavirales; Phycodnaviridae.